RNAcentral lists this ribosomal RNA (482 nucleotides) under Pseudomonas citronellolis. RNAcentral describes it as "bacterial SSU rRNA". It matches the Rfam family "Bacterial small subunit ribosomal RNA", at positions 31 to 481 of the family's 1533-position model. The record is from RNAcentral. Lineage: Bacteria; Pseudomonadati; Pseudomonadota; Gammaproteobacteria; Pseudomonadales; Pseudomonadaceae.
AUUGGAACGCUGGCGGCAGGCCUAACACAUGCAAGUCGAGCGGAUGAACGGGAGCUUGCUCCCUGAUUCAGCGGCGGACGGGUGAGUAAUGCCUAGGCAAUCUGCCUGGUAGUGGGGGACAACGUACCGAAAGGAGCGGCUAAUACGCGCAUACGUCCUGACGGGAGAAAGUGGCGGGAAUCUCGGACCUCGCACGCUAUCAGCGACGUCGAGCCUAGAUCGGAUUUAGUAAGUAGGGUGGGGAAUGGGCUCACCUUGGCGACGAUCCGUAACUGGUCUGUACGCGAGCGAUGAUCAGUUCGGCCACUGGGAACUGAGACACGGUCCCAGAUCCUGCGGGAGGCAGYAGUGGGGAAUAUUGGACAAUGGGCGAAAGCCUGAUCCAGCCAUGCCGAGUGUGUGAAGAAGGUCUUCGGCCUUGUAAAGCACUUUAAGUUGGGAAGAAGGGCAGUAAGUUAUACCUUGCUGUUUGACGUUACCAC